CCCAACCUUCUCGCUCCCGAUCCAACUUCCUCCCGAGAAAAUUCAUCCCCUCCGGCCUCGACUCGGCCUCCUCUCCUAUGCCACUCGCCUUCUCCACAGCCGCCCGCCCACAGGUUGUCCGCCGCCGCUUCGAGGGCUAGCAUCCCCGCGUCCCUCCUUCGUUCCAGUACCCGAUUGGACUGCACGAGUGCCCCCACCGCACCAUCAGGGGGCACCGCGGGAGUACAGCCACCGCACCGCCAGGGUACCACCGCGUGUGCCGGCGAUGCGUGAGCCGCCGCUUGUGCGGCAUCGAUUGCCGCUUCCAACGAUGCAGGAGCCACUCAAUCCGGCGAGGAUGCCGGGCGCUGUCACCACUGAUUCUCAGGGUGUGCGUGCCGCAUCCGAAACUCCCCUAAUGUGCUCCUCCACUCCGCUUAUAACAUGUCGUUCAUCCAUGGCUCUCUGUUGCUAUGCGCCGUUGAGCUCUGGAGCCGCUGCCGUCGAAGCCCAUCGCCAGCCGUCCUCGGGUGGGCCGACGCCCAAACUCGGCUCCAGUGACAUCCCCGCUAGAGGUCCUCCUCCACCUCUUCUUCUAUUAGAGGUGUUGUCAAGAAUUUCAUCGCACCCACUGCUUUCCCUCCGAGGUAGUUGCCGCCUGCAGCCAUGCACAAGUGUCAUCACCUGCAUCUCCUCUGUGUGUUCCCGUCUCUCCAUGCCGCACGAGGAUGCAGUCAUCACAUCUGUGAGUAGUGAUGUUAACCCCAUAAAAAGGACCGCAGGUGGACAUCUGCUAUAAAUAAUCAGGUACUUCUUUCUCAUUAUCAAAGUGAAAUGCUCAGUGAAACUAUCCAAUGGAUGGACUGGUUAUUUAACACUGAAUGAUCAGAGCUUUAUUCUCUUCUUUUCUCCUCUUCCAUCCACUAAAACAUCUGCAUUGCAUGCUUCUUACUUCUCUGAGUGCUUAAACAUAAAUAAGAAAACCGAAUUCUCUAUGGGCAUGAAUAAUCUUUCGAUUCAAACAGAAAAAUCAAAAUGUGGUUCCAGUUCCGGGAGGUAUGGCGUGGUUUCUUUGUUGGCAUGUGCAUGUGUUGUUUGUCUGUUGCCGGGUGGAUUGCACAGUGGUGGUGCCGGGAGCCAGGGGUCAUCAGAGAAGAGAGAUGCUGACGUCACUCAAAACGAGCCUUGCUUGGCAUUGACUGAAUCCUCCACACAUUAUUUGUUGGCAAUUGAGCCUUGCUUGGCACGUGCUUGGCAUUGACUGAAUCAUACAGUGGCGAGCUUGUAUCCCGGCCAACCUCUUCAUCUUGAUUUUUUAGAAGCUAACUCACUUCAAAAGGAGGCCUGGAUUACCUUAUAUUCAGCAUUGAUCACACAGACUAGAUUUUUUUAAGAUGGAAAAGUCUGACAAUUGAAAACCUAUCCGAGAAUCAUGCUUGUUUGUGUGCUGCAAUUUGCACCUAGAGAGGUCUCCUGCCAUAUACGCUCGCCAAGAUCUUUGUCGUAGUCAUUAGGAUGCGGGAUGGCAUUGUCGGGAUACACGCUCGCCAAGGUCUCCUGCCAUAUAGGCCCGUGAGAGAUCCAGGGCGUGUUACUCUGCAGCAUCAUGACCACAAUGGUGCCUUGGUUUUGAAAAUACAAUUUGAAUGGCAUCACAACAUUUAGUAGACAUUUUUUUCAACAGUUGCUUUAUUUUUUAUACCGUGUGAAUCUCCCUUGGUUAACGCUUGAGACGUGUGUUACACAUGAUUAAUUUUUCGCGCCUUAUUGUUGUUGCUGUUGCCCGUGAGGUACUUGAAAAAAUUCUCGGCAUGUGGCGCUCUUCAAUGACGUGUUCUCUUUUGAAGAGCAAGCAGACAAAGCAUGAGAGCGCUAUGAUCCUACAAAUUCUUGACUGCUUCUAUACCCGUGUAUUUGUUUUAUCUUUUAUUUUUGACUUAUUUUAUUCUCUUGAGUACUCCCUCCGUUCCGAAUUACUUGUCUUAGAUUUGUCUAGAUACGGAGGUAUCUAGCACUAAAAUGAGUCUAGAUACAUCUGUAUCUAGAAAAAUCCAAGACAAGUAAUUCGGAACGGAGGGAGUACUACAUAAGAGGUGUCUUUGCAGAGCUUAAGAACGAUUUAUGGGUUGGAGCACACUAAUACUGUAUUGAAAAGGGAUAGACAGCCAACCAGUGGUAGACUUCCCUUUUUGAUUGACUCUGGAUCUAAAGAAGUAUAAGCAUGUAGAGGAACUGGUGGUCCACCUUGCUACUACAAAUGGACAGCCUGAUUUUAUCCAUGUGUUGGACUAAAUGAUAUUUGAUGAUUUGAGCCUUGCACCGGUAGGGUUUCCACAACACUAGGUAUGAUCUAAACAAUGGCUGAAAAUAUUUAUUGGAGCAUUUGUUUCAAACAAAUUUGUUGAAAGACAUUUCAAAUAUUUUAGUGCUUGUGAUAUAUUUUAGAUAGUACCACUUUAAUGUGGCGUGGUACAGUUUGCCUUCUAUCAUGAACUUCGAACACUUCUAAAAAAUAUGCAAGAUAAUUUCCCUUUCAGCUGGCAAUUGGGUUAAAUUCAUGUACACAUCAGCACUCGGUAUCUCUAAAAACUAUAUGUGUGGGAACUCUUGAAGUAAAAUACGAUAUUGUCAGCUCGAUUGUUAUUUUAGUCAACAAAAUAUUUAAAAUUUUAAUGAAAAUGUGCAACAUCCAAUAAUAUAGUAGGUAUUAAUUAACAUUUAUAGUGAUUAUCAACAUCUUCGUUAAAUACGAUAUUUUUGCAUUGCGGAUGUCCAAUGAUUCUGGCUAUAUGCACUGGAGUUUAAUCCAUGUAUGUGAACUAAUUAGAUAUCUAUGUGAAUUUAGAGAUACAUAUGUGUUUGAGAUGAUUUCAGAGUACCAUUACCGGCCCUGUAGGUCCAUCGUAAUUCGAUUGUUCUGAUUUUUUUUCAUUUUUUUUACUUAACGAAGAUGUAUUUUCACUAUGAAGUUUAAUAAUUAAUAACUAUUGGGUGUGUUCCGCAACGCAAUACACAAUGAAUUGGAUUCUCCUUGGCAUGAGGCGACAUGCCUUUGAAUUACCAAGUUUUAUUUGGUUGUUUGUUUCAUGUGUUAAUUAUGUAAUUGUACCAAUGUCCAUUCAUACGAAAAUGCAGGGUACUACAAUGAUGAAUGUAUGAUUUUGGUAGUUCCAUAAAAUAAAUAAAAUAUAGGACAUUGAAAUGUAGGGGUUGAGGUUUACAAGUCUACUGGAGUUAAAAAAUAUUUAGGUGAGGAUCUUUAUAGAUGAGUCCCUAUACAUAGAUUGAUGGGAGAUAUUUUAGGGGACAUGUUAAGUUUCUCUAACUCCGGUUCAUGAUUCCUCGGAAAUCCUCCCAUGGAAAUCCUCCCAACCAUAACCAUUUACGGUAAACAACAUAUUUUGUUACUAUUUUAGUUAUCUUUUUAUCAAAUUUUCUUUAGUGAAAGCAAUUUCAUCAUAAAAUCGAGUUCUACAUCGAGAACUCCCAUGAUGGCCACGCGUCAAGAGCCCGUAAGGAGGUAGAGUUCGUGAAGUACAUGUUCGACCGCGACAACCCCCAAGCAUGUGUCCCCGUACCCGAUGAUGGGAAGAGGAUAAGUAGAACACUUAUUAGUUGUUAGAGGGUGCAAGGAUUUUGUUUCUCCCGUUGCAACACACUAGCAUAUUUACUCGAUUAAACAUAUAUAGAAUUCAGAAGGCAUCUUUUAUAUUUGAGAGACGUGCGUUGCACGUGCACGCUUACUAGUAUGUCCUAAAUGUAUAUGUUUUGUUCCGGUAUAUAUGAGAAUUAUCCGGCUUGC
This is a long non-coding RNA of Triticum urartu, 3781 nucleotides long. RefSeq lists it as uncharacterized. The record is from RefSeq and is a predicted model, not a curated record. Lineage: Eukaryota; Viridiplantae; Streptophyta; Magnoliopsida; Poales; Poaceae.